This is a long non-coding RNA of Apis mellifera (honey bee), 3527 nucleotides long. RefSeq lists it as uncharacterized. The record is from RefSeq and is a predicted model, not a curated record. NCBI's taxonomy places the organism in Eukaryota, Metazoa, Arthropoda, Insecta, Hymenoptera, Apidae. The transcript is spliced from 5 exons.
AACAAUUAGAAGUUCCAAAUGAUACAAGAAAAUUAAAACAUGUUCCCUAAGUAUCCGCGCCAUUGGCAUGGCAAGUACCCCUUGCUCUCCCUGUACGGAAAGUCUCUACCCACCAUGCCACGCUAUGCCGUGCUGUGCUGCGCUGUGCUACGGUUUGCCGUGCCAUCCUCAACCGCGUAGCGUGGCUAGUUGUUUCUUUUCUUUAUUCCUUUGUCGGAAAGUCGGUGGCGAGUCUCGUUUUUAAGAGAAGAGUAGAGGGGAGGAGGCAAAAGGAAAACGACAACCGCUCAGCAGGGGCUGAGGAAGGAAUGGUCGGGCUGGGGCUACAGAGAGGGGUACAGGGAGGGAGGAAGGGCCACGCAGCAAGGAGAAUAAAACUGAACUGUCUUCCUGUCGUCUGGAGAGAGGUACGAUUGCUCUUUGCGAAUGCGACACGCCGGCUUUUGCAUGGUAUCGCCCAUUCGAAAGCGUUGUCCGGCCUGGCGUCCGUUUCGUUUGCGUUAUUAUGUAAUGUUACGUGCGAAUAGCGUGUAUAUGGCACGCCGGUAAAAGGCUGUUGCACUAUUAAAGAAAAUUGCCCUCUCGCGGUGGUGAAUAGGAAGCGUCAUGCAUUCUUCGAUACGGUCAUCGAUCUGCUAUUCGAUCUAAGAACGUAAACUCUGCUAUGUAUAGUACUUUAGAAGUUUUUUUAAUAAUAAAAGAAUAAUAUAAAUUGAAGAGAAAAAAACAGGAAGGAGAGGAUGAAGAGGAGAAAGGAAGAAAUAAGAGAGGAAAGAAGGUCCACGACCGGAUCUUAUAAUUACGCUAAUUAGGCAGUAACGUGUAAAAAGAGCGGCGCGAGUAUUUAUCACAAGGUAUCGUGGAAGGUAUACGGAGGUCGGCAAAGGAGGACGUCGUACGACAGAAUACGACAGGAAAGGCUAUAAUACAAUUUUGCCGCAAGCAUCAGAAGUAACAGCAGCAGCCACGGCGAUUAACAAUAAAUUAUUGUGUUUACAUAUAUUAUGUAAAUUAAAAAUUUAUAUUAUCUUUAAACAUAAACAUUGAGGUCAUUAUUAAUUUAACGUACCCGGCCCAGCAUCUCUUCUAAGAUUUACGAACAAGGUAUAUUCAAAGAAUCUCUCAUACUCUUUCAUAAAAAUUAGCCCAUCCCUACAUAAGAUGCGCCAACGCGUUCCCUAUGCGCGUGUCUAGCUUAGCAAAGGGUUCAUUCAAGCGGAAUUAUCGUUAUCGCUGGUUUCCCGUUCUAUUUUUCCGUGGGUGUGUAAUCAGCGACCGACAAAUCCGGACUGAACGUGUGUGGUUGCUACCCGUCAGAGAUUUUUCUCUCAUCAGGCCAGAACAGCCCGGGACUGAGCGUUUAUGGGUACCUUUGCUGGAUGGAUUCGUCGGAAGGGGAGGGUCGUGGGAUAGAGGGGUUGGGUAGCGGCGGUGGCGGCGACGUGAGGGGGAGAGAGAGAGAGGAAAGAGAGAGCCUCGGUUGGAUUACGGGCCAGUCGAGCCGGAGCGGGGGUGGGGGGAAGGAGGAAGCGGUCGGCGCCUUUGAUCUCAGCCGCGGGCGCCGACAAAGCGUUCAUCCACUCUCCUACAACGGCGUGCUGUCUCGCGAGUAGGAGCGCGACAAUGCUCACCAGGCAAAGCAUGCGAGAGAGAUAAUGGAUAAAGUGAGCCAACCGGUAAGGUAGCAUAAUACAGAGCAAGAAGGAAGAGAAGCGGAAAGAGAAAGCUUGAGCAACGCCGGACGAAUGGUACGCUGCGGCGCGAUGGGGGAAGGGAGAAAAACAUAGAGAGGCCGAAGAACACAUGGAGAGACUGAGAGAAAGAGAGCUCUUCGAUCAGACGGAGAAACGAAUGGAAAAAGAGGGACCAAGGGACGAGCAAAGGGAGAAGAUAGGGAACGAGAAAGUGUAAACACGAAUGGAAGAGAAAGAAGGGGAUAGGAAACAGAGAUGAUUCGUUGGAGAAACAGAAAGAGCUAGAAAAACGGAGAGGGAGAUUGGAAGGAAAAGAGAAAGGGAGAAAAGAUCCGAAGAUCCGUUCCACGAUCUGGUGCUGUCGCGCUUGCUUUAGCAUGGCACUGCCACUCCCUUGCGCCGGCUACACCAGCUUUGCUAUUAAUAAAUAAUGCUCCGUGAUCCGCAUUACAACUAAAGCGAUUCGUUCCGCUCUUGGCUCUUUAUUCCCAAUAUCUUCGAACAUGUGGAUAUCCGCGAAAUCUCUGUUCCUUCCGUAUCGCGUCGGAUCUUUUUUAGUAGGUUUCUGAAUGAACCGCCUACCUUCGAUACAACAAAGCUUAUAUAUGACUUUGAAGAAGUCCACACCAUGAUUUCUCUUUAGUCGAGUUAUAAGAGACGCGUUAAAGAGAUUCCAAUUUAGAGUAUUAGAGAAACAAGGAUGUGUGAGGCGGCGAACAUGAUUCACGGAAAUAUGGAUGCAUCCAUUUGAUGGGUCACGAAACUGCUAUUUGUAAUAUUUCAUGUUUAUGACCCCGUAUGCGAUAAUGAUAACAGUCAUCAAUGAAUAAUAUGUUAAAAAACAACGUUAUGAUGAUUAAAUGUCUAUUAGAAUAUCAUUAUUUUUUUAUGCAAUUGUACUUUCUUUUUUACUUGAUUCAAGUAUAUUUUGUGUAACAGUACUUUAAUAUUGAAAUAUUUUUUAAAUAUUAUAAAAUUUUAAAUUUAUUGUUUAGAAUUUGUUAUAGAAUAUUUUAAUAGAAUCUAAUAACAAUCUUAGUUAAUUUUCUGUGGUGGUUGUUCGAGCAGAACAUAGGUCGACCGUAAUUUACAGAAAUUUUAUUCGUGAAAAUGUUUUACAUACAAAGCUCCGUGUUUUUCUCCUAAUAUUGAUUAAAAAACCGCAUAUUCCAUAUGUUUUUAGCCUCCUUUUGAGUUACUGCGCUCGUUGCACACACUUUGAUUGCACUUAAGCAAAUUUCAAGCCCUGGAAAUUAUACAGGUUUAGCGCGAAUAAAAACUGACUCUGAUCACCAAACUUACAAUAUCUUUUUAUUAUUUGUAAAACGCUAAUUUCUCAAAUUCUUCGUGAACUUAAAUCACAGGAGACAUAUAGAUUGCACCAACCAUCAUCAACUUGUCAUUUAAUUAAUUUGAUAAAAUUAUGGAACUUACACAAAAAGGAAACGGUAUGACAAGUAGAGGGUUCCUCAUUACGUUUUAUAAUUAGUCAUACAAUUACAUAUCAGAAACUUCUUGCAAAUGGUUUUUAAGUAUAAUCGCAAAUUGUGUAGAAUAAAUAAUUAUAAAUUGUAUAGAAUAACUUUUAGAAAAAUGAAUCUCAAAAGAAUCGAGCCAUAUUCUUGAAACGCGUUGUUGAUACAUAUAAUUUUUAUUUUCUAUCAUUUUGCUCCUGGUCAAAUAAUUUUUUGUGUUUUAGGUACUGAGUAGGCCAUAUCGUAUCUUAUACAAAUUAUGUCAUUAAUUAAGAAAAAGUAUAAAUCAAAUUUGAUUUUUUAAUUUAAUUAAUCUCUUGUUAAAAUGACCGUUCAUUGCCGGUAUUAAAAAAAAAAA